GCCCCCGUAGUUCAACGGACAGAACUUCUCACUCCUAACGAGAGGAUAUAGGUUCAAUUCCUGUCGGGGGCA
RNAcentral lists this transfer RNA (72 nucleotides) under Patescibacteria group bacterium. RNAcentral describes it as "tRNA-Arg". It matches the Rfam family "tRNA". From Rfam's summary of the family: Transfer RNA (tRNA) molecules are approximately 80 nucleotides in length. Their secondary structure includes four short double-helical elements and three loops (D, anti-codon, and T loops). The record is from RNAcentral.